CCUACGGGAGGCAGCAGUGAGGAAUAUUGGUCAAUGGACGAAAGUCUGAACCAGCCAUGCCGCGUGCAGGAAGACGGCUCUAUGAGUUGUAAACUGCUUUUGUACAAGGGUAAACCUGAAUACGUGUAUUCCGCUGAAAGUACUGUACGAAUAAGGAUUGGCUAACCCCGUGCCAGCAGCCGCGGUAAUACGGGGGAUCCAAGCGUUAUCCGGAUUUAUUGGGGUUAAAGGGUGCGUAGGCGGAGUGAUAAGUUAGAGGUGAAAUGUCCGGGCUCAACCCGGGAACUGCCUCUAAUACUGUUGAUCUAGAGAGUAGAUGCGGUAGGCGGAAUGUAUGGUGUAGCGGUGAAAUGCUUAGAGAUCAUACAGAACCCCGAUUGCUAAGGCAGCUUACCAAGCUAUAUCUGACGUUGAGGCACGAAAGCGUGGGGAGCAAACAGGAUUAGAUACCCCGGUAGUC
This 460-nucleotide ribosomal RNA is filed under the name uncultured bacterium. Its description in RNAcentral is "partial 16S ribosomal RNA". It matches the Rfam family "Bacterial small subunit ribosomal RNA", at positions 338 to 795 of the family's 1533-position model. The record is from RNAcentral.